This 72-nucleotide transfer RNA is filed under the name Stentor coeruleus. It matches the Rfam family "tRNA". Rfam says of the family: Transfer RNA (tRNA) molecules are approximately 80 nucleotides in length. Lineage: Eukaryota; Ciliophora; Heterotrichea; Heterotrichida; Stentoridae. The record is from Rfam by way of RNAcentral.
UCAGAGGUAGUCUAAUGGUAGGAUUCCUGACUAUCCAAGCAGGAGAUCCAGGUUCAAUUCCUGGCCUCUGAC